CAGAACUUUGUAGCUCUCGACAAUCUUGCUUUUGCUCCAGGAAGCUGUGACACAAUACCAAAGGUGGCCAUUCCUAACAAUGCUUUUGAUUGUUCAAUUGGUUCAUUCUUUUCCUUUAAAAGUAAGAAAUGUGAAAAAUGUCCCAUCUAUACAUAUCAACCAUAUCCAAAACAAACUCGUUGUCUUCCCUGUAAUGAGAGUAAAGGUACCAUCAAUGUUGGUGCAGUGAGUGAACGAGAAUGUAUAAAAGUCAAAAGAUGUGAUUUUCAAAAGGGACUGGGAACUACUGAAUGUCCAUGGCACAACGUAAAAGGUGACGAUGACUUUGACUGGAAACUUCGUACAUCAUACUCAUCACGUUAUGACCCACCACGCUAUUAUGCUACAGGCUUCAGUAUUGGACGAUAUCUU
Xenia sp. Carnegie-2017 is the source of this 411-nucleotide long non-coding RNA. RefSeq lists it as uncharacterized. NCBI's taxonomy places the organism in Eukaryota, Metazoa, Cnidaria, Anthozoa, Malacalcyonacea, Xeniidae. The transcript has 4 exons. The record is from RefSeq and is a predicted model, not a curated record.